Molecule: transfer RNA, 74 nt
Filed under: Lentisphaerota bacterium
Lineage: Bacteria; Pseudomonadati; Lentisphaerota
Also listed under: 1 other name
Description: Lentisphaerae bacterium (anaerobic digester metagenome) tRNA-Gln
Rfam family: tRNA
About the family: Transfer RNA (tRNA) molecules are approximately 80 nucleotides in length. Their secondary structure includes four short double-helical elements and three loops (D, anti-codon, and T loops).
Source: RNAcentral
UGCCCCAUGGUGUAAUGGUAGCACAAGUGAUUCUGGUUCAUUUUGUCGAGGUUCAAAUCCUUGUGGGGCAGCCA